ACUCCCACCGAGACGAGCUCGUAGUUGGAUAUCUGGAUUGAGUUUGUUCGUGGUUUCCACAGCAAUUCAGUUCAUCCUUCUGUUAAAGCACCUUGUACUUGUACCGGGUGUCAGCUCAGAUAUUUACCUUGAGAAAAUUAGAGUUGUCAGGCAGGCGAGGCGCAAUACAACAGCUGGGAAGAAGAGAUUGACACGACUCUGAGGUCGGCCAGAAAAGUUAAUGUUAAUAGUACGUGGCUGGAUUAUUAUUUUUUUGCGGAGAGGUAAUGGUGGUUUUGUAAAAAUGCUAAGGGGAGGAUAAGAGAAGAGGGCGAAU
Molecule: ribosomal RNA, 316 nt
Filed under: uncultured eukaryote
Lineage: Eukaryota
Description: bacterial SSU rRNA
Source: RNAcentral